This 878-nucleotide ribosomal RNA is filed under the name uncultured fungus. RNAcentral describes it as "eukaryotic LSU rRNA". The stretch from base 432 to 585 matches the Rfam family "5.8S ribosomal RNA". The record is from RNAcentral. Lineage: Eukaryota; Fungi.
UCUUGGUCAUUUAGAGGAAGUAAAAGUCGUAACAAGGUUUCCGUAGGUGAACCUGCGGAAGGAUCAUUAAAGAAAUUUAAUAAUUUUGAAAAUGGAUUUUUUUGUUUUGGCAAGAGCAUGAGAGCUUUUACUGGGCAAGAAGACAAGAGAUGGAGAGUCCAGCCGGGCCUGCGUUUAAGUGCGCGGUCUUGCUAGGCUUGUAAGUUUCUUUCUUGCUAUUCCAAACGGUGAGAGAUUUCUGUGCUUUUGUUAUAGGACAAUUAAAACCGUUUCAAUACAACACACUGUGGAGUUUUCAUAUCUUUGCAACUUUUUCUUUGGGCAUUCGAGCAAUCGGGGCCCAGAGGUAACAAACACAAACAAUUUUAUCUAUUCAUUAAAUUUUUGUCAAAAACAAGAAUUUUCGUAACUGGAAAUUUUAAAAUAUUAAAAACUUUCAACAACGGAUCUCUUGGUUCUCGCAUCGAUGAAGAACGCAGCGAAAUGCGAUACGUAAUGUGAAUUGCAGAAUUCCGUGAAUCAUCGAAUCUUUGAACGCACAUUGCGCCCCUUGGUAUUCCAGGGGGCAUGCCUGUUUGAGCGUCAUUUCCUUCUCAAACAUUCUGUUUGGUAGUGAGUGAUACUCUUUGGAGUUAACUUGAAAUUGCUGGCCUUUUCAUUGGAUGUUUUUUUUCCAAAGAGAGGUUUCUCUGCGUGCUUGAGGUAUAAUGCAAGUACGGUCGUUUUAGGUUUUACCAACUGCGGCUAAUCUUUUUUUAUACUGAGCGUAUUGGAACGUUAUCGAUAAGAAGAGAGCGUCUAGGCGAACAAUGUUCUUAAAGUUUGACCUCAAAUCAGGUAGGAGUACCCGCUGAACUUAAGCAUAUCAAUAAGCGGAG